GGGGAUGUACUGGUUUUGACAGCACUGAUGCGAGACGGUAAGCACGUCGGGCGUAGGAGACUUGCCCGUUAAUCUCAGUCUUCAAAAAAUUAGUUGGCAACAACAAUUAUGCACUCGCUGCCUAAUUUGACCAGAGUCAAUUAGCUUAAUCCGCGUCGCCAAGGCUGCGGCGCCGACGAGUAUCCCGCGGACAUUCCGCCUGUUUUGUUCCGAGUCCGGGGUAUCAUUCAAACGGGCUGCACCGGCCGACUCCUCUGCCGCCGGUCAAGUUUCAGAGGAUAAGCUUCUGCUGGCCCGUCUUCCGGCAGGCCGAGGCCGACAACCAAAGGAAGAAUAAGCGUGUAGAAAGCCGCCUGGUGCGGUGUUUGGACGGCGGUUCGACUCCGCCCAUCUCCACU
Molecule: transfer-messenger RNA, 398 nt
Filed under: bovine gut metagenome
Rfam family: transfer-messenger RNA
About the family: Bacterial tmRNA, also known as 10Sa RNA or SsrA, is named for its dual tRNA and mRNA-like properties. Its role is to liberate the mRNA from a stalled ribosome. To accomplish this part of the tmRNA is used as a reading frame that ends in a translation stop signal.
Source: RNAcentral